Molecule: long non-coding RNA, 2275 nt
Organism: Triticum aestivum (bread wheat)
Lineage: Eukaryota; Viridiplantae; Streptophyta; Magnoliopsida; Poales; Poaceae
Exons: 5
Source: RefSeq, a predicted model, not a curated record
UAUCAACACGGCUCCCUUCCUGGUCUCCUACUGGAUUCAUCGCAUGUCCGGCGGCCAGUGGCAGAGGCAUCACCAUGAGGAGUUGAUCAAGGGCUGCUGAUAACCAGGUAUGAGGGACAUUAAUUCCACUCUUGUUGGACCAGUGAGCUGAUUACAGAUUUUAGGAUGCCAGUAAUUCUGUAGUUUGCAGCGACCUCCGGAUCAAUUGUGCUCCGGAGUCCAGACUUGAAAGUUACACCCAGGAAUAACACAAGUAAUAGUAUGUUAUUGCUAGUAAUUUUGCCUUGAGCCUUGCUGUUUCAUACACGCAUUCUGUAAACUCUAUUUUAGUGAUGGGGAUGGUUAUGUCACGCUUAACUGUUGGCAUUUGGUUUCUAGUUUGGUGAGGUGAUUGCUACAACGGAGCAUGAGGAAGCAACUAUAAUACUCCCUCCGUCCCAUAAUAUAAGAAUGUUUUUGACACUAGUGUAGUGUUAAAAACGUUCUUAUAUUUUGGGACAAAGGGAGUAGCUAAGAUUGAUUAUUCAUUUAUUGAGCAGAGGAGGUAAGCAGAAUAAAUCUAUUGCUUUUCCAUAUCGUUGUUCUCAGCUUUGUCGAAUAGACCGAUAUUUUUUCCACCUAAUUUCUUCCUCUGCGACAUCAAACGACGUGGAUAUCUUUAACAGUUGAUAGAUGUCCAGGGAUCGGGUUCCAUGUGGACUGUCAGGAUUGCUCGGGUAGGCAUGGGGCGUGAAGCAAGAAUCACUGAUUGCGAAGGCAAGCUCAUGCUUUGGUUCAUGAGAUGUUGUAUGUGCCACAUCUUUGCCUGUAGUUUGCAUUCCAGUCACAUAAUGUGUGAAAAGGAGGCAAAACCAAUAAGGAGAAAUGUAACUUGUAAAACUGCCUGAGUUGCAAAAUAAUCAAACCCCUAGGAAUAGAAAUCAUUUUUUUACUCAAACUUUUAUAUUCGAUGUUUUUGGUCUUUUUUUGGCAGGUGGAGGUUGUUGGUCUACCUAUUCGGUUACCUCUGUUAUGGUUAACAUGGCAGGCAGAAAUAGGUGUCCUGGAUUUUGUCAAAAAAAGAGAGAUAGGUGUCCUGGAUCAAAUGGACCCCAUUUUUUGGCUUGUUUUGGGCCUUAUGGCAGUGGAUGCUAUAAAUGGAUCAUCUAAUGUCUAAGAAAUAACUAACUACUAACGUUGAAGAAGACUUCACAGAUUGUGAUGAUCCUGGUGACGAUGAAAAUGAAGAUGAUAACUGAAAAUGCAGUAACAAAAGACUGUAAGAAGAGGAAGUUGAAAUAUAUUUGGAACCUUCCAGAAGAGAAUAGGAUAAUGGUUCGUUGCAAUGACCUUCCAAAUAAAUUCUGCUGCACACAAGAAUGCUGUUCAGAACUAAGAAACUUUGCUUGAGAAUGCGAGUGCAUGUCUGGGAGAAAAACUUCUAGUGCAAACAAGCUGAGUGUUGUCCAGACCAAAAAACAACAACAACAAAAUGUGCUGAUACAGCCUAUAAGAGUGCUCAAGGUGGUUCUCUGAGUUUGUUGGGUGCUAGUGAAGUACAUGUAAGAGUGCUCAAAUUCAUUUCAUACGUUCCCAUGUUUUGUCUUUGUUUCUUCAUGGGUGGUGAGGAUGAUUCUGCCAGUGGUAACUUUGGUUUUCUCUAUCAGGCAGGAACUAAAGUAUUCUUGAAGAGCCUGAAAAACCAUAACAACGACGUAGCUCUUGCUACAAUUUUAAGUUGUGAUCCUAAAUUUAAACUUGAUGGUGCUGAAAUUAGAAAUGAAUUAUGGGCAUUUCAUGUCAAUAUGUCACUUGUGAAAACUGAAAAUUUAGUACUGAGUCACAAAAACUGCAAUACUCUCGGUAAUGCAGAAAAACAAAGAUUGCAUGGCCUUCAACCUUUGUACGUGCUGAUACCUUAACUCUAUUACUACUUGCAUCAUGUCAAGGCAUUGUGUGCUAACAAUUCAUUCUAUUUUCUUGUUUGUUUGUAGAUUCAAAAGACAAAUGGAUGAGUAUAUGGGUGCAUGGCAAGUAUAUUGCAACGAUGAUGUUCAUAUUGCAGUUCAUGAUCAAGAUGAUGAUCGAUGCUUUCAAUUUUAGUUAAGUAGUAGGGAUGACGUUCCUCUUGGAUGUUGUUCCUCGGUUCAGUUUUAAUUAAGUUCUAGUGAUGUUGAUGGAUGCUUUUGGUUCAAGUUUCUCUGUGAAGAAAAUAGUUAUAUUAUGCAUCACAUUUGGAUGCUGUUCCUCCUGUAAUAUACACUAUUGUAAAACAACAGUUUCGUCUAAUAUAUGA